AGAGUUAAACAGUACGUGAAAUUGUUGAAAGGGAAACGAUUGAAGUCAGUCAUACCAACGGGAAAUCAACCUUUUGAGUUUGGUCUCGUGGGUUUUGAAGAGUUUAAAAGCCUUCGGAUUUUCGAGAUUGGGUUCUUCUGGUGUACUUUCUCGUACGGUUAGUCAACAUCGGUUUUGAAUGUCAUAAAAUGACUGGAGGAAUGUGGCUUCGAUCUCGUAUUGAAGUGUUAUAGCCCGGUCUCCUGAACAUGCCUAGGGGGCUGAGGAACCUCAAGUCCCAUUUUUGGAGCCCCUUGCCUCUGGCUGGUUGGGCCUGGUUAUGCUGUGGGUCUCUCUCGGGAGGCCUUCUAGAUGGCCGGGUCAGUAGCUGGUCUUGGGUGGGGGAAUCUCACAAACCCGGGGACGGGGAUGUUGGCACAA
RNAcentral lists this ribosomal RNA (420 nucleotides) under uncultured fungus. RNAcentral describes it as "eukaryotic LSU rRNA". The record is from RNAcentral. Lineage: Eukaryota; Fungi.